Aedes albopictus (Asian tiger mosquito) is the source of this 1132-nucleotide long non-coding RNA. RefSeq lists it as uncharacterized. The transcript has 6 exons. NCBI's taxonomy places the organism in Eukaryota, Metazoa, Arthropoda, Insecta, Diptera, Culicidae. The record is from RefSeq and is a predicted model, not a curated record.
CUGUUCAUCACAUUCGCACACACCCCGAAUUGCUAUUUCCGCCGAUCAGAACGUUCGAGCCUUCGUUGCAGCUGGUUGUAAGAAGCUGAUCGUCGACCACCUUAUCGUGCAAGAAAGGCACUGAUGUUCCCACCAUAAGGAACGAGCACGCUACAAUAAGAUCAUUUUAUUCCACGAUAACCGGCGAGAAGAUCAGCGGUACCUGUGAGAGCAACGUGUGGCUGGGAUGAGCAAGCCUGCUCCGUAUCUGCAAAAAGCAUCAUCUCCACCGGCUCGGUCGAUCUACCAUCUCCGGUGCAGCAGCACGCGGUAGAGAAUUAUCAUUACACGGGGCUGGAUAGUCUUGAGCAAACGCAAGCAACGCACGAGGUUGGAUCCGAGGGGACGCCGGACAAUUCACGGCAAAUAUCCUGAAAACCGGGAAGCAGUAGUGACCGGAAGACGAUUUUCCGGAUAAAUCCACAAGAGGCCAGUGUUGUCCGACGGGAGACAGUUCGGAACAUUCGAGGUCCACUAUACGAUAGUUACCCCACGGGGGCACUCAGGAGCUCACGAGCCAACUCCUCUGUCGACGCCACCGCAGUGUAGAGCGGGCCAUCACACUAACACCCGUACGCAAGCGAACGAACGAAGCCUUUCCACAACAGGAGGGCUUCGUUUGCAGGGGUCGAGUUGCACGUCGCAUCGAGUAAGAUCUGGUGUAAGCAGGAGAGCCAACGAGAGACGCUCGCCACUCGGAGCGACGUAGGAAGCCGUCGGGGAAAACAUCACCGCAAAUCGUUGGUUCAGUGACGACAGUGAUCAAGCGAGGUUUAAGCUACGCGAGUGUGCAUCGGUGCAUCGGACAAUGCUGUUCCCGUAGCGGUGUGUGUGCGCUUGUGAGUAAUUGCGAACCGUGACGUCGUGUUGUGGACGGCAGCCGCGACGGUGAGCGCCAACGACGUCGCCGGCAACGAGAGAUGUGAGCAGCACACUAGGGUAGCAUGUUACAGAACGGGCCCGUGAGUAAACAACGAUUUUGUAUUUAUGAUAAGAAAACGAAACUGAGUCAGGAGGCACAUUAGGGAAGCAGUUUAGGCCAGACGAUGCUGGAACGUAUGUUGGGAAAAAUAAAUGUAGCAUAAGCAUGAAA